RNAcentral lists this unclassified non-coding RNA (305 nucleotides) under Rubrimonas cliftonensis. RNAcentral's name for it is "Long range pseudoknot". The record is from RNAcentral. Lineage: Bacteria; Pseudomonadati; Pseudomonadota; Alphaproteobacteria; Rhodobacterales; Paracoccaceae.
ACGCAUGAUUAUGACGUGAAGAUGCGCAGCGUGCACAAGUUCCUCGAAGAGGGGGACAAGGUGAAGGUGACGCUGCGGUUCCGCGGUCGCGAAAUGGCGCAUAUCGAGAUCGGUCGGAGCCUGCUCGAGCGCAUCUCCGCCGAUGUCGACGCGCUCGGCAAGGUUGAGUCCAUGCCGAAGAUGGAAGGCCGCCAGAUGAUCAUGGUGGUGGCGCCGCGCAGCUAGGCGCAGCGCCGAACGGCGCCGGGGGGCUGACCCCGGCGCAACUCUUCACAUCGUCGAGGCGGCUGGCGGAACCUGGCCGA